Molecule: small RNA, 2219 nt
Filed under: Pongo abelii (Sumatran orangutan)
Lineage: Eukaryota; Metazoa; Chordata; Mammalia; Primates; Hominidae
Description: processed transcript
Source: RNAcentral
GAUUUUUUUCUUUGUGACCUACCAUAUGGAAAGACACCAUCCGGAAGAUGAAGAACGAUUUCCGGAAGAUGGAGGAUGAGAUGGACCGGCUGGCCACCAACAUGGCAGUGAUCACCGACUUCAGCGCUCGCAUCAGCGCCACGCUGCAGGACCGCCACGAGCGCAUCACCAAGCUGGCAGGUGGGCGCCGCCGGGCAGGGCCUGCAGUGGGCCUUUCCUGGGGCUCUGGGGCUAACGUCACCCUCCAUCCCCUAGGGGUCCAUGCGCUGCUGCGGAAGCUGCAGUUCCUCUUUGAGCUGCCCUCGCGCCUCACCAAGUGCGUGGAACUGGGCGCCUACGGGCAGGCGGUGCGCUACCAGGGCCGCGCGCAGGCCGUGCUGCAGCAGUACCAACACCUGCCCUCGUUCCGCGCCAUCCAGGACGACUGCCAGGUCAUUACGGCCCGUCUGGCCCAGCAGCUGCGGCAGCGCUUCAGGGAGGGCGGCUCAGGCGCCCCGGAGCAGGCAGAGUGCGUGGAGCUGCUGCUGGCCCUGGGCGAGCCUGCGGAGGAGCUGUGCGAGGAGUUCCUGGCGCACGCCCGCGGCCGGCUGGAGAAGGAGCUGAGAAGCCUGGAGGCCGAGCUGGGGCCCUCGCCUCCGGCUCCCGACGUGUUAGAGUUCACCGACCGUGGAGGCAGUGGCUUCGUGGGCGGCCUCUGCCAGGUGGCGGCGGCCUACCAGGAGCUGUUUGCGGCCCAGGGCCCAGCAGGUGCCGAGAAGCUGGCGGCCUUCGCCCGGGAGCUGGGCAGCCGCUAUUUUGCGCUGGUGGAGCGGCGGCUGGCGCAGGAGCAGGGUGGUGGUGACAACUCACUGCUGGUGCGGGCGCUGGACCGCUUCCACCGGCGCUUGCGGGCUCCUGGGGCCCUGCUGGCCGCUGCCGGGCUCGCAGACGCUGCCACGGAGAUCGUGGAACGAGUGGCCCGCGAGCGCCUGGGCCACCACCUGCAGGGUCUCCGGGCGGCCUUCCUGGGCUGCCUGACUGACGUCCGCCAGGCGCUGGCAGCGCCUCGCGUGGCUGGGAAGGAGGGCCCUGGCCUGGCCGAGUUGCUGGCUAACGUGGCCAGCUCCAUCCUGAGCCACAUUAAGGCCUCUCUGGCAGCAGUGCACCUUUUCACCGCCAAAGAGGUGUCCUUCUCCAACAAGCCCUACUUCCGGGGUGAGUUCUGCAGUCAGGGUGUCCGUGAGGGCCUCAUCGUGGGCUUCAUCCGCUCUAUGUGCCAGACGGCUCAGAGCUUCUGCGACAGCCCUGGGGAGAAGGGGGGUGCCACACCACCUGCCUUGCUCCUGCUGCUCUCCCGCCUCUGCCUGGACUACGAGACGGCCACCAUCUCCUACAUCCUCACUCUCACUGAUGAACAGUUUCUGGUGCAGGAUCAGUUCCCAGUGACGCCCGUGAGCACACUGUGUGCAGAGGCCAGGGAAACGGCGCGGCGACUGCUGACCCACUACGUGAAGGUGCAGGGCCUGGUCAUAUCACAGAUGCUGCGCAAAAGCGUGGAAACUCGCGACUGGCUCAGCACUCUGGAGCCCCGGAAUGUGCGGGCUGUCAUGAAGCGGGUGGUGGAGGAUACCACCGCCAUCGACGUGCAGGUGGGGCUCCUGUACGAAGAGGGUGUUCGCAAGGCCCAGAGCAGCGACUCCAGCAAGAGGACCUUCUCCGUGUACAGCAGCUCUCGGCAGCAGGGCCGCUACGCCCCCAGCUAUACCCCCAGUGCCCCGAUGGACACCAACCUCUUGAGCAAUAUCCAGAAGCUAUUCUCUGAACGUAUUGAUGUGUUCAGCCCUGUGGAGUUCAACAAGGUGUCGGUGCUGACUGGCAUCAUCAAGAUCAGCCUGAAGACGCUGCUGGAGUGUGUGCGGCUGCGCACCUUUGGGCGCUUCGGGCUGCAGCAGGUGCAAGUGGACUGCCACUUUCUGCAGCUCUACCUGUGGCGUUUUGUGGCCGACGAAGAACUCGUGCACUUGCUGCUAGACGAAGUGGUGGCCUCGGCUGCCCUGCGCUGCCCAGACCCUGUGCCCAUGGAGCCUAGUGUGGUCGAGGUCAUCUGCGAGCGCGGCUAGGCGCAGCCGCUGCUAUGCACCGGCCUGUCCCGGCACCCCAUGGCACCCAGGCUCUGGUCUCGGUGGUCCUUCCCCGCAGGCAGGUGUCAGGACCCGCCUAAUAAACAUGUGUGGCCUCCC